Molecule: long non-coding RNA, 1278 nt
Organism: Neofelis nebulosa (Clouded leopard)
Lineage: Eukaryota; Metazoa; Chordata; Mammalia; Carnivora; Felidae
Exons: 2
Source: RefSeq, a predicted model, not a curated record
AUGCUAUGGAGGGAAGAAAGAGGCAAGAAUCGGUCACCAUGCUGAAGUGUCAAAUUGUAACCCAAGAGAAAUAGCAAAAUGUCUGUAUCUGUAACAUUUAACAAACACAAAGAAAACCAGUGACAGGUGUAAGGGGCUAUUCUGGCACCCACGUUGCUGGACUCUACGACCCUGAUCUGCACUGCGGAGCCUCCAUUAGAGCUAGCUGUCUUCUAUCUAGACUCUGCCCAGACGAGCCCUCCGAUGCACAUGGAGAAAGCCUUGAGAAAUUAGCAAAUUCUCUUUUCAUAUUUUCCCAAUUUUUAAAAAUUAAAAAUUUAUUUUGUGGUUAGUGUUGGUGUACUGACUUUACCUUUCAUUCUUUCAAACCACUUACCUAGAGUAAUAACAAGUCAUUGCCCCUCUUAGGAGCUUUUGGGACAUCACUUUCCUUGUAGGCCUUCCAGGAUUCAUACCUAUUUCUCCAGUAUUAUGGCCACUCGGAGCUCCCUUAGGGGCAAAAGCUGUGUCUAAUUCAUCUUUAGAGCCUUAACACCUGGCGCUGUGCAUGGCAUCUAAUAAAUGUUUGCCACACUAGAUAUAUCACCAUUACCUCAACUAUAGUUACCAGACCCAUCCAAGGACUUACUCUGAAGAACUGUACUAUAGUUGGCUAUCCCAUUUUUAUUCUGAUAAACUCUACGAUUACUGUAAGUAUUUUGGGGGAUAAUCUGUGCCUUCUCCCUGAAUCAAUUUAGUGACAAUGUUAGCCUUUGAUGAUCUUGUUAGUGUCAAAUGGAAAGCAUGACUUAGGUUGCUGAAGUCCUAAUGACAACUAUCUUCUGCUGUCACACUCUUAUCAAAGUCUGUUUCAGUUAUAGGCAGAGAAUGUUCCUUUCGCAGUGAUAAUCAACUGAAAGAUAUUUUCAUGGGCUAAGAUUCAAGUUUCUAAGUUUAUGCAUAAUAAAGACUCUUACAUAAAAAAGUUGACAUGGUCAAUGAAGUAAUGCACUGUACGAAUCAUGGUGGGGAAGGGACCAUAGGAAAAGAAUGGAAGAAAAUAACAUACACAUAAUCCAUUCGUACUAAGAGACGGCCAAAAGAUGCUAUAUUGGGCUGAACAAAUUUACAGUAGUUUCAAAAAGAGGGGCGCCUGGGUGGCUCAGUUACUUAAGCGUCCGACUCUUGAUUUCAGCUCAGGUCAUGACCUCGUGGUUUGGUGAGUUCGAGACCCACAUGGGACUCCAUGCUGACAGCACAGAGCCUGCUUUGGAUUCUCUCUCUCUCUCCCUCUCUCUC